AGAGUUUGAUCCUGGCUCAGGACGAACGCUGGCGGCGCGCCUAACACAUGCAAGUCGAACGAGCGAGAGAGGGCUUGCUUUCUCGAGCGAGUGGCGAACGGGUGAGUAACGCGUGAGGAACCUGCCUCAAAGAGGGGGACAACAGUUGGAAACGACUGCUAAUACCGCAUAAGCCCACGGGUCGGAAUCGACCAGAGGGAAAAGGAGCAAUCCGCUUUGAGAUGGCCUCGCGUCCGAUUAGCUAGUUGGUGAGGUAACGGCCCACCAAGGCGACGAUCGGUAGCCGGACUGAGAGGUUGAACGGCCACAUUGGGACUGAGACACGGCCCAGACUCCUACGGGAGGCAGCAGUGGGGAAUAUUGCACAAUGGGGGAAACCCUGAUGCAGCGACGCCGCGUGGAGGAAGAAGGUCUUCGGAUUGUAAACUCCUGUUGUUGAGGAAGAUAAUGACGGUACUCAACAAGGAAGUGACGGCUAACUACGUGCCAGCAGCCGCGGUAAAACGUAGGUCACAAGCGUUGUCCGGAAUUACUGGGUGUAAAGGGAGCGCAGGCGGGAAGACAAGUUGGAAGUGAAAUCCAUGGGCUUAACCCAUGAACUGCUUUCAAAACUGUUUUUCUUGAGUAGUGCAGAGGUAGGCGGAAUUCCCGGUGUAGCGGUGGAAUGCGUAGAUAUCGGGAGGAACACCAGUGGCGAAGGCGGCCUACUGGGCACCAACUGACGCUGAGGCUCGAAAGUGUGGGUAGCAAACAGGAUUAGAUACCCUGGUAGUCCACACCGUAAGCGAUGAUUACUAGGUGUUGGAGGAUUGACCCCUUCAGUGCCGCAGUUAACACAAUAAGUAAUCCACCUGGGGAGUACGACCGCAAGGUUGAAACUCAAAGGAAUUGACGGGGGCUCGCACAAGCAGUGGAGUAUGUGGUUUAAUUCGAUGCAACGCGAAGAACCUUACCAAGGCUUGACAUGCACGGCGGCGCUGCAGAGAUGUGGUGGCAUUUGGUUGGUCGUGUGCAGGUGGUGCAUGGUUGUCGUCAGCUCGUGUCGUGAGAUGUUGGGUUAAGUCCCGCAACGAGCGCAACCCUUGCCCUAUGUUGCCAGCACGUGAUGGUGGGGACUCGUGGGGGACUGCCGGGGUUAACUCGGAGGAAGGUGGGGAUGACGUCAAAUCAUCAUGCCCCUUAUGUCUUGGGCUUCACGCAUGCUACAAUGGUUGGUACAGAGGGUUGCGAUACUGUGAGGUGGAGCGAAUCCCUUAAAGCCAGUCUCAGUUCGGAUUGGGGUCUGCAACUCGACCCCAUGAAGGUGGAGUCGCUAGUAAUCGCAGAUCAGCAACGCUGCGGUGAAUACGUUCUCGGGCCUUGUACACACCGCCCGUCACGUCACGAAAGUUGGUAACACCCGAAGCCCAUGGCCUAACCGUUUUUGCGGGGGGAGUGGUCGAAGGUGGGAUUGGCGAUUGGGACGAAGUCGUAACAAGGUA
This 1481-nucleotide ribosomal RNA is filed under the name metagenome. RNAcentral describes it as "bacterial SSU rRNA". It matches the Rfam family "Bacterial small subunit ribosomal RNA". The record is from RNAcentral.